RNAcentral lists this ribosomal RNA (407 nucleotides) under bacterium enrichment culture clone ALO1_GLFRUDD03FQT9P. RNAcentral describes it as "bacterial SSU rRNA". It matches the Rfam family "Bacterial small subunit ribosomal RNA", at positions 9 to 416 of the family's 1533-position model. The record is from RNAcentral.
GAGUUUGAUCUUGGCUCAGAUUGACCGCUGGCGGCAUGCCUUACACAUGCAAGUCGAACGGCAGCACGGGAGCUUGCUCCUGGUGGCGAGUGGCGAACGGGUGAGUAAUGCAUCGGAACGUAUCCUGGAGUGGGGGAUAACGUAGCGAAAGUUACGCUAAUACCGCAUAUUCUGUGAGCAGGAAAGUGGGGGACCUUCGGGCCUCGCGCUCUUGGAGCGGCCGAUGUCGGAUUAGCUAGUUGGUGAGGUAAAGGCUCACCAAGGCGACGAUCCGUAGCAGGUCUGAGAGGAUGAUCUGCCACACUGGAACUGAGACACGGUCCAGACUCCUACGGGAGGCAGCAGUGGGGAAUUUUGGACAAUGGGGGCAACCCUGAUCCAGCCAUGCCGCGUGAGUGAAGAAGGCC